RNAcentral lists this ribosomal RNA (500 nucleotides) under uncultured bacterium. RNAcentral describes it as "partial 16S ribosomal RNA". It matches the Rfam family "Bacterial small subunit ribosomal RNA", at positions 30 to 523 of the family's 1533-position model. The record is from RNAcentral.
AUUGAACGCUGGCGGCAUGCCUUACACAUGCAAGUCGGACGGCAGCACGGGAGCAAUCCUGGUGGCGAGUGGCGAACGGGUGAGUAAUAUAUCGGAACGUGCCCAGUCGUGGGGGAUAACGUAGCGAAAGCUACGCUAAUACCGCAUACGAUCCAUGGAUGAAAGCGGGGGAUCGCAAGACCUCGCGCGAUUGGAGCGGCCGAUAUCAGAUUAGCUAGUUGGUGGGGUAAAAGCCCACCAAGGCGACGAUCUGUAGCUGGUCUGAGAGGACGACCAGCCACACUGGAACUGAGACACGGUCCAGACUCCUACGGGAGGCAGCAGUGGGGAAUUUUGGACAAUGGGCGAAAGCCUGAUCCAGCAAUGCCGCGUGCAGGACGAAGGCCUUCGGGUUGUAAACUGCUUUUGUACGGAGCGAAACGGUCCUCUCUAAUACAGUGGGCUAAUGACGGUACCGUAAGAAUAAGCACCGGCUAACUACGUGCCAGCCGCCGCAGUAA